UUUAUACAUAAAAUAUUUCUUGUCCUACCUUGCAUAACUGAAUAACCUUUAUGGCACAAUAACAAUUCAAUACAUUUAUGGUUACUACAGUAUUUGGAUUUAAUAAUCUUCAUGUGGGAAAAGGCUGACUUGCAUAAAUAAGUAGAGCCAAAUAAUGCAGUCAAGGAGCUUUUGAAUUCAGCAGAGUGAAAAAUGACGGCUAUCCCAUUAACUGCGAUUUUAGUUCCCUCUCCUUUCUCUUUCUCAGAUCGCUUUUCGGAAGGAAGUCAGUUUCAUAGUUUUUAUGAACAGUUCGAAAGUGCCUUUCCACAUUUUCCUUCUUUGGAAUAGCAAUGAUAGAUUGACAGAUCAGACAAACGCACUUUGAUUGUAACAUUGUGAGAAAAAAAAAUCCUCUUCCAAUUCCACAUCCAGCCCAUACCAUCCCCAAACAAUUUUUUUUUUUUUAAAUCCCUUCUUUAGUCGAUAUAAAUUGGAAGGUUAACUAGAUCACAGCCGGAGUUUUGCAGUAGCUCGCGCGUUUGAUUGUGCAGAUCUCAGACUGGCCGCCCUGUAUGUCAAUCAAGUGGCAAAUGCCAUAGGGAGGAUACAGUAUAUGAUAGACAAACGUUUAAAAAACAUUUUUUUGAAUGCAACACGAUCUACCUGCACUACCUUUGCGAUCUACUGGUCGAUCGCAAUCGACGCAUUGGGCACCCCUGAU
Molecule: long non-coding RNA, 703 nt
Organism: Erpetoichthys calabaricus (reedfish)
Lineage: Eukaryota; Metazoa; Chordata; Cladistia; Polypteriformes; Polypteridae
Exons: 3
Source: RefSeq, a predicted model, not a curated record